Molecule: ribosomal RNA, 2909 nt
Filed under: Yersinia pestis
Lineage: Bacteria; Pseudomonadati; Pseudomonadota; Gammaproteobacteria; Enterobacterales; Yersiniaceae
Description: 23S ribosomal RNA
Rfam family: Bacterial large subunit ribosomal RNA
Source: RNAcentral
GGUUAAGCGACUAAGCGUACACGGUGGAUGCCUAGGCAGUCAGAGGCGAUGAAGGGCGUGCUAAUCUGCGAAAAGCGUCGGUAAGCUGAUAUGAAGCGUUAUAACCGACGAUACCCGAAUGGGGAAACCCAGUGCAAUACGUUGCACUAUCGUUAGAUGAAUACAUAGUCUAACGAGGCGAACCGGGGGAACUGAAACAUCUAAGUACCCCGAGGAAAAGAAAUCAACCGAGAUUCCCCCCAGUAGCGGCGAGCGAACGGGGAGGAGCCCAGAGUCUGAAUCAGUUUGUGUGUUAGUGGAAGCGUCUGGAAAGUCGCACGGUACAGGGUGAUAGUCCCGUACACCAAAAUGCACAGGCUGUGAACUCGAUGAGUAGGGCGGGACACGUGACAUCCUGUCUGAAUAUGGGGGGACCAUCCUCCAAGGCUAAAUACUCCUGACUGACCGAUAGUGAACCAGUACCGUGAGGGAAAGGCGAAAAGAACCCCGGCGAGGGGAGUGAAAUAGAACCUGAAACCGUGUACGUACAAGCAGUGGGAGCACCUUCGUGGUGUGACUGCGUACCUUUUGUAUAAUGGGUCAGCGACUUAUAUUUUGUAGCAAGGUUAACCGAAUAGGGGAGCCGUAGGGAAACCGAGUCUUAACUGGGCGUCUAGUUGCAAGGUAUAGACCCGAAACCCGGUGAUCUAGCCAUGGGCAGGUUGAAGGUUGGGUAACACUAACUGGAGGACCGAACCGACUAAUGUUGAAAAAUUAGCGGAUGACUUGUGGCUGGGGGUGAAAGGCCAAUCAAACCGGGAGAUAGCUGGUUCUCCCCGAAAGCUAUUUAGGUAGCGCCUCGUGAACUCAUCUUCGGGGGUAGAGCACUGUUUCGGCUAGGGGGCCAUCCCGGCUUACCAAACCGAUGCAAACUCCGAAUACCGAAGAAUGUUAUCACGGGAGACACACGGCGGGUGCUAACGUCCGUCGUGAAGAGGGAAACAACCCAGACCGCCAGCUAAGGUCCCAAAGUCAUGGUUAAGUGGGAAACGAUGUGGGAAGGCACAGACAGCCAGGAUGUUGGCUUAGAAGCAGCCAUCAUUUAAAGAAAGCGUAAUAGCUCACUGGUCGAGUCGGCCUGCGCGGAAGAUGUAACGGGGCUAAACCAUGCACCGAAGCUGCGGCAGCGACACUUAGGUGUUGUUGGGUAGGGGAGCGUUCUGUAAGCCGUUGAAGGUGACCUGUGAGGGUUGCUGGAGGUAUCAGAAGUGCGAAUGCUGACAUAAGUAACGAUAAUGCGGGUGAAAAACCCGCACGCCGGAAGACCAAGGGUUCCUGUCCAACGUUAAUCGGGGCAGGGUGAGUCGACCCCUAAGGCGAGGCUGAAAAGCGUAGUCGAUGGGAAACAGGUUAAUAUUCCUGUACUUGGUGUUACUGCGAAGGGGGGGACGGAGAAGGCUAGGCUGGCCGGGCGACGGUUGUCCCGGUUUAAGCGUGUAGGGGGAGUGACCAGGUAAAUCCGGUUGCUUAUCAACCCUGAGGCGUGAUGACGAUGCACCACGGUGCAGAAGCAGUUGAUGCCAUGCUUCCAGGAAAAGCCUCUAAGCAUCAGGUAACAUUAAAUCGUACCCCAAACCGACACAGGUGGUCAGGUAGAGAAUACUCAGGCGCUUGAGAGAACUCGGGUGAAGGAACUAGGCAAAAUGGUGCCGUAACUUCGGGAGAAGGCACGCUGGCGUUAGGUGAAAGGACUAGCUCCUGGAGCUGAAGCCAGUCGCAGAUACCAGCUGGCUGCAACUGUUUAAUAAAAACACAGCACUGUGCAAACACGAAAGUGGACGUAUACAGUGUGACGCCUGCCCGGUGCUGGAAGGUUAAUUGAUGGGGUCAGCCGCAAGGCGAAGCUCUUGAUCGAAGCCCCAGUAAACGGCGGCCGUAACUAUAACGGUCCUAAGGUAGCGAAAUUCCUUGUCGGGUAAGUUCCGACCUGCACGAAUGGCGUAAUGAUGGCCAGGCUGUCUCCACCCGAGACUCAGUGAAAUUGAACUCGCUGUGAAGAUGCAGUGUACCCGCGGCAAGACGGAAAGACCCCGUGAACCUUUACUAUAGCUUGACACUGAACAUUGAGCCUUGAUGUGUAGGAUAGGUGGGAGGCCUUGAAGUGUGGACGCCAGUCUGCAUGGAGCCAACCUUGAAAUACCACCCUUUAAUGUUUGAUGUUCUAACUCGGCCCCAUGAUCUGGGGUGAGGACAGUGUCUGGUGGGUAGUUUGACUGGGGCGGUCUCCUCCCAAAGAGUAACGGAGGAGCACGAAGGUUAGCUAAUCACGGUCGGACAUCGUGAGGUUAGUGCAAAGGCAUAAGCUAGCUUGACUGCGAGAGUGACGGCUCGAGCAGGUACGAAAGUAGGUCUUAGUGAUCCGGUGGUUCUGAAUGGAAGGGCCAUCGCUCAACGGAUAAAAGGUACUCCGGGGAUAACAGGCUGAUACCGCCCAAGAGUUCAUAUCGACGGCGGUGUUUGGCACCUCGAUGUCGGCUCAUCACAUCCUGGGGCUGAAGUAGGUCCCAAGGGUAUGGCUGUUCGCCAUUUAAAGUGGUACGCGAGCUGGGUUUAGAACGUCGUGAGACAGUUCGGUCCCUAUCUGCCGUGGGCGUUGGAAGAUUGAGAGGGGCUGCUCCUAGUACGAGAGGACCGGAGUGGACGAAUCACUGGUGUUCGGGUUGUCAUGCCAAUGGCAUUGCCCGGUAGCUAAAUUCGGAAGAGAUAACCGCUGAAAGCAUCUAAGCGGGAAACUUGCCUCGAGAUGAGUCUUCCCUGGGGCUUAAAGCCCCCUGAAGGAACGUUAAAGACUAUGACGUUGAUAGGCUGGGUGUGUAAGUGCAGCGAUGUAUUGAGCUAACCAGUACUAAUGAUCCGUGAGGCUUAACCUU